GACGAACGCUGGCGGCGUGCUUAACACAUGCAAGUCGAGCGAUGAAGAAGAGAAACGCGAACUUCGGUUCAAAUUUCACUUCGGAUUAGUGGCAGACGGGUGAGUAACGCGUGAGCAACCUACCUCUUACAAAGGGAUAGCCUCGGGAAACCGUGAUUAAUACCAUAUGACACAUUCAUAAGGCAUCUUAAGAAUGUUAAAGCUACGGCGGUAAGAGAUGGGCUCGCGUCCCAUUAGCUAGUUGGUGAGGUAACGGCCCACCAAGGCGACGAUGGGUAACCGGCCUGAGAGGGUGAACGGUCACAUUGGAACUGAGACACGGUCCAAACUCCUACGGGAGGCAGCAGUGGGGAAUAUUGCACAAUGGAGGGAACUCUGAUGCAGCGACGCCGCGUGAGCGAUGAAGGAAUUCGUUUCGUAAAGCUCUGUUCUAUGGGAAGAAAAGGACUGUACCAUAGGAGAAAGCCCCGGCUAAAUACGUG
RNAcentral lists this ribosomal RNA (482 nucleotides) under uncultured bacterium. Its description in RNAcentral is "partial 16S ribosomal RNA". It matches the Rfam family "Bacterial small subunit ribosomal RNA", at positions 28 to 507 of the family's 1533-position model. The record is from RNAcentral.